GGUUGUGGCUCAAUGGUAGAACGCUUGCCUAGCAUGUGUGAGGCACUGGGUUUGAUUCUCAGCACCG
Molecule: transfer RNA, 67 nt
Filed under: Marmota monax (woodchuck)
Lineage: Eukaryota; Metazoa; Chordata; Mammalia; Rodentia; Sciuridae
Description: tRNA.Ala
Source: RNAcentral